Molecule: long non-coding RNA, 311 nt
Filed under: Gossypium raimondii (Peruvian cotton)
Lineage: Eukaryota; Viridiplantae; Streptophyta; Magnoliopsida; Malvales; Malvaceae
Description: long non-coding RNA (GRAI_LNC003964)
Source: RNAcentral
CGAAUCUCUGCGUGAGUGUGGGUCAUAAUUUUUGCUUUGGUUGUUUGAUAGAGGUUCGGUAGAACCGAAGCUCUGAAGUUGUUGGAUGAGAAUCAAGUUGUGAGAUAGUGGGGCGGUUUGUUAGUGGGAUAACGGGCAGAAUUGAGAUAUUUUUUAUCUUAUUUUGUUUUUGUUUUUCAAAAUUUUGGUUCUGUCUCUCUGAAAAUUCUGACAUCAGUUUCUACUCAUUUUUUUAACGUUUCUUCCUUGUUCUCCUUCUCUACAAUCUCUGAUUUUUUUCGUUCAUUUUCUUUUCCUUCAAAAUGUUUUUC